Molecule: transfer RNA, 72 nt
Filed under: Candidatus Parcubacteria bacterium
Lineage: Bacteria; Candidatus Parcubacteria
Description: tRNA-Trp
Rfam family: tRNA
About the family: Transfer RNA (tRNA) molecules are approximately 80 nucleotides in length. Their secondary structure includes four short double-helical elements and three loops (D, anti-codon, and T loops).
Source: RNAcentral
GGGGACGUAGGCUAAUUGGCAAACUGGGGCUCUCCAAAAGCCUCGUUCCAGGUUCAAGUCCUGGCGUCCCCG